GACGAACGCUGGCGGCGUGCUUAACACAUGCAAGUCGAACGGAAAGGCCCUGCUUUUGUGGGGUGCUCGAGUGGCGAACGGGUGAGUAACACGUGAGUAACCUGCCCUUGACUUUGGUAUAACUUCAGGAAACUGGGGCUUAUACCGGAUAGGAGCUCCUGCUGCAUGGUGGGGGUUGGAAAGUUUCGGCGGUUGGGGAUGGACUCGCGGCUUAUCAGCUUGUUGGUGGGGUAGUGGCUUACCAAGGCUUUGACGGGUAGCCGGCCUGAGAGGGUGACCGGCCACAUUGGGACUGAGAUACGGCCCAGACUCCUACGGGAGGCAGCAGUGGGGAAUAUUGCACAAUGGGCGGAAGCCUGAUGCAGCAACGCCGCGUGCGGGAUGACGGCCUUCGGGUUGUAAACCGCUUUCGCCUGUGACGAAGCGUGAGUGACGGUAAUGGGUAAAGAAGCACCGGCUAACUACGUG
This 468-nucleotide ribosomal RNA is filed under the name uncultured bacterium. RNAcentral's name for it is "partial 16S ribosomal RNA". It matches the Rfam family "Bacterial small subunit ribosomal RNA", at positions 28 to 507 of the family's 1533-position model. The record is from RNAcentral.